UGCAGGCUGCUGCGGCUCUGUCGGCUGCGGUUCAGCAACCGCGGGCUGCGGUUCAGCAACCGCGGGCUGCGGUUCAGCAACCGCGGGCUGCGGC
Molecule: transfer RNA, 94 nt
Filed under: Klebsiella quasipneumoniae
Lineage: Bacteria; Pseudomonadati; Pseudomonadota; Gammaproteobacteria; Enterobacterales; Enterobacteriaceae
Description: tRNA-???(cagc)
Source: RNAcentral